RNAcentral lists this long non-coding RNA (4898 nucleotides) under Eptatretus burgeri (inshore hagfish). RNAcentral's name for it is "lncRNA (ENSEBUG00000017229.1)". Lineage: Eukaryota; Metazoa; Chordata; Myxini; Myxiniformes; Myxinidae. The record is from RNAcentral.
GGAGGUUAUCAAUAAAUUUCCAUCAAUGACAUACCUUCAUCCUGGUGUGGACAAUAUCACGUUGCUCAGUUGUUUGAAUCAAUUCACGGGUUUAAAACGACAUCAAUUGGUACAUUUCGACCAUAUGCAAGGUCCAAUCAUUCCAGGUACAAUCAAAAUUCCUACCUGUGGGGUUGAUAGUCGAGCAAAUACUUGGAAAGAGAACGUGGGGUCAUGGAUGGGGCGCCAUGGAGAGUCCACUGGGUGCAAGGGGGAGGAGGGCCGUUACCUCCUGGCCACCAGAGGUGACGUGAAUAUUCUCGCUUUAUAGAGGACUCGAGAGAGGGAGAGAGAGAGAGUGAAAGGAGUUCAGAGCACAGGAUGGUUCGGAAAUUCGAGCUGUGCGGAAUGUCGAGGUCGUCAAUGAGAGCGCGCGGUGCAUCUAGCAGCACGAACGUACUCAUUUAUCUGCUGUACUUCGGUUGCUGCGGACUUUCUCUCGGGGAUCAACUCAACACAACAAGCAGAAACAUAACCAAUGUCUCGGCUUCAACAUCACGGGUUCCAAGUGUCCUGAAAACAUCAUUGACGUCACCACGCAUGCCUGGUAAAGCAAGAGCCCCGAAAGAAGACGUGGUUUCGACACCUAAUUUCUCCAAGCAAUCUUCCACGAUGCCACCCAGCAAGGCUCCGGCAGGAGUUGACGUCAUCGUGAGGAGCAUGCCAAAAUCGUCACCGCAACUCAUUCCAGGAGGUUUAGAGUCCACAACUUCACAACAAUUUACCACAAAAGCAUUGAACCAAACUGACGUCAAAUCGAUUCCAUACAACCACAGUGAGACAAAUACAAGAAAUCAUAGCGAUUGGACUCGGCCUGAAUCCUCAACCACAAAAACGAUGACCAAAGAUGCAAACCAUGUCCAUGUUGAAGCGACGAGCACCGUCAGGCAGGUUAUUCUUGGCUUGACAAUCAGCACCAAGGCAAAAAGAACAAGCGAGGACACCUUUGGGACAACCAAGGAAAGCAAAAGGCUUUCAGAACCAACUUCAACUUCAGAAGCACCCGAGGUCAAUCGAUCACUACACACUGCUUUCAUUAUAGUGGGAGCUUUAUUGCUAAUCCCCAUCACGAUGUGGGCUUUGUAUUUCCUCUGGAAAAGAUGCAGACCACCACAGCAGUGUCCGGUAAGUUCACACUUCAAGUGUGGCUCACAUACUAGUAAAAUGCAAUCCUGAUUCCCAACCUUUGGGACAACAAUGGAGCCUGCUGUCACCAACUAAAGGUGGUGACUAAUUUCGGGCUCUAUAUGCAAAUAUGGCAAAAUGUUUUCUCCUCCACCACUCACACUUUCCUCCUGUUUCCUUCUCUUCCUAUUCUCAAUGUUCUUCACUCAUUCACACCACUGAACUUAUACAUACAUCAUAUUCAAUAAUGAAAACUUCAAAAUGCUUAACUUGGGCACAAUUUUUUUCCUGAAUUUGGCCACAACACAUUAUACUGUACCUAGUAAUUACUAUUACGAACAAUAAACAGGACGGCAGACGAUUGUUGUCGUUGUAGUGCAAUACUUGACAUGCCCCGCACUUUUGGAAAGAAAAGGUACAUUGAAAAUGCUGUUAUGAUUGCAAAGAGAAGAUUUAUGGCUUACUUGUCAUAGAACAAACAUGUCGGCCAUUUCGGUCUUCAUGGCGACUUUGUUUGCUCAAAUCCAAGGUAUUAACUAAACAAAGGUAGUUUUCUUUCCGUGUUUAAUUUAACGCAUUACUUGCAAGUACUGGUGAUGUAAAGAAGCAUUUUGUCAUUGGCAACCCAACAGGGUACAACAGAAAUAAUUGAAAAUGGCUGCCAGGAUCGUGGUCCAAAUAACACCAAGCCAGACCUGCCAACCCAAGCAUCAAGGAAUCGAGAUGGCGCACAGCAAUGUCUGGCCAUGCGUGAGGAGGAAGACACACACCUUUGAAAGACCUGUUCUUUUGUACAAUCAUUUUUAUUUUUAUUGUCCCACCGUUUGCAUAUUUUCAGUUACCUGUAAAUACCUGGCUUAUCUUAAUUUUAAAAUGCUCUGCAAAAGCUCAUGCAGUUCCGUUUCUUCUCUGUCCGCAUGUGCAAGCGAGUUUUUCUUUGUGCACAUCUCAUUAUUCACACUGACUCGUGGAUGUUCAAAGAGUCGGAAGUUUUAACAAUUAAUUUUUUAACGGAUGUUUUGAAAUAGCAACAUUCUCAUGUCAAACUGUUUAUUUCUGGGUUUUUUUGUUGCUUCGUUUAAAUCAUAAACGCCAACUUCGUUUAAAUUUAAAAAAAAUUAUAAAUGCCAACUUACUCCUUUAGCGAAUCUGAUAAUUACACAAAUGCAAUUAUGAAUACAUUAUGUUGCAAGAGAAACAAAAGGACGUCUUGUAAAACAACCAAAUCUCCAUUGUUACCUGCACCAACGAAGGUGAACAGAAGUUAUGUUUUUCACUCCUGUCUGUUUGUCUGUCUGUGAGCAGGAUAUCUCAAAAAGUUAUAGACGGUGGACACGUUGGGUGUAGGACAAGCACUAAUAGAUUAGAUUUUGGUGAAGAUCUGGUACAAGAUUUUGACACCAGAGUUUCAAAAGUGGUCCUUCACCAUUGAGAGAUAUGGCCAAAAACUAUAGUUGACAUGAUAUCUCAAAAAGUUAUGGACGGAUUCAGACAAAACUUGGAGUAGGUCAAAAUGGUGGACACGUUUGGUGUGUGACAAGGACGAAUUACUUCGAUUUUUGGUGUAGAUCUCGAUCCGAGAAUUAAAAUUAAAAAACUGAUUCUUCACCAUUGAGACAUAGGGCCAAAAUGAUAUGCAGUAUGGCAUGAUAUUUCAAAAAGUUGUGGACAGAUUAUGACAAAACUUGGUCGAUGAGUUGAUUAGGUGAGAAGAACAAGCCGAUUCGAUUUUCAUUCAGGUCCGGAUGCGGAUCUGGCCUAUCAGUGGGAUACGACUCGUAAACUGUUCAGCCUGGCGGCGGUAUGCGCUCCACCAAGUGCCAUUCUAGUUUUUAUUAUUUUCAGUCUAUAUGCAUUUUGAUGUCGUUUCACCUGCCUCGGAUUUUUUUUUCGUGGGGAAAGGUAUUUGUAAUAAAAAAUAAAAUCAUAUGUACUUUCUCUAUGCAAUCAUUUGUAUUUUAUUUGUGUAACUUUUCUUUAAAGAUGUUAUUAUGAGGUCAUAACUGUGCUUGGGUUGACCACAUUCACUGAAAGAGAUUUUCUAAAUUGGUCUUUAGUAGAAAUUUUAAUUCUUGCCAAAAAAACAACUAACAGGUUUAUUUGAAACAACCUCCCAUCAUAACUUGAUGGUUUCUGCAUCGACAAGACCAAUUACCUCCUGGGAGGUUUUGUGAAUAUGUGAUGUAAACAUGCUGGUGAGGACAAAACAGAAAUAGACAUGGUUGGUCUCAUGGUCCAACUUAGAUUAACCUGCUCAGUCGUUAUUGUCUCAAAACAAAGAGACACAUUUGCAACGUUGAUCUGACUAUCGACUCUGGGUUUAUGGAUUCCACCCACGUGUAGGACUUAAUGUAACUUUUUUUUAAAUCGUGCAGACUGUAAUGCGUUGCACUGACCAGUGACCACUCAUAAAAUCAACUUUUUCUCACUUGUUCCUCUUUUCUCCUGCCUGUGGUAUGAAUUUCCACAUUCUCUUCAAUCUCAUUCUUCCCUCCACAUCUUCAAGACAGCUGUUCAUCACCAUCUCAGAUUGUCCCCAAUCCAAACCAUGAUCUUUCCUAUCCUUGUUACCCCCACCCCCUCCCAAAACCCCAACUCAAUCCCUCCUCCAUCCAAAUCUCCAGUUUUCCCUCCUUGGAGUUUCCUUCGGUAUCCAUUUUGUGCACUUCAUGCAUCCUCUACUGGUCCCCCAUUCCUUCCCACACCCUUUGUUUGUCCAAGUCUCCCUCUAUCCAGGCCUUCGACUCUGCUGUUGAUAUUAACCCCUCUAUCUACUGUUCAUUUUGCAUCCUGUUACAUCUCGCUAGUCGAGGCUCAUGGAAGGGUACAUUCAGUGCACUCUUCCGUGAGCCUCGACCAUGUAUACAAAAACCCCCAAAAAUCUGGAAUGAAUAAAAAAACAAUGUCUGUCUGAAACAAUGAAUGUGCUGAAGUAAGAAGAAUUGCAUCAGGAAUGAAAUAAACACCGUUUACUUACAAUUUAUAAGAUGGCAUUCCUUGUAUAAAACAGCGGCAUAGUUUACAUGAAUGUUACAUUCCGAGUGGGAUGUGUGUAAAGGGUGUGAGGCAAGCAGGAAAAAGGAGAAGGGGGUGGGGUUAAACCCCCGCAAACAUCAAUUCAAACCAUCAGCGUACAAGCUGUGAGAUGAUAAAGUAAUAUUACAAAAGUUUAACAAAUGCAUGGGAUGACAAGAGCCAAUGUCACAUUUUACAAAGCAGCAGAGUUCUCUAGUUAUGAUGUCAUGAUGUUCAAGUUGUACCAUUCAUUGUUUAGUAGAGUAACAAUAUUUCCUGAACUAAAAUAAGCCUCAUUGUUCCUCUCAGCUAAUGAUUCGAGUCAACUUCAGAAAAGUACUGGUUCUAACAGAGAGUUGGGUGUUUCACCUACAGGUUGCACCAGAAUUUUUUUUCUCGAAAAUUCAAAUUGGCAGAGCAACCGGCACACAUGCCCUGCUCUUUCUAAGCAUAUAAUACCGUGAGAUCUUUUUACGUACAUGAUAUAGCUUGGGCGUACGACAGAGAGAGUUCAGUGGUCGAGAAAGCAAAAUAAGAAUAUUUUCUGAUAUGUCUGCGGAAGGAAGUCAUGUUUGCUCUGGAAACACAGCGAUCAAAGGGAAUUUCAGAAAUAGACAAACUUUGGAAAUGUUAAACAGUCUAAAGGAGCGCAUGGCACAACAACAGUGGCCUUCGAGGCACCAACAGUGGGAUGAAGAUUUCCUCGGACAAAUUCAUGU